This is a non-coding RNA of Pelobates cultripes (western spadefoot toad), 279 nucleotides long. NCBI's taxonomy places the organism in Eukaryota, Metazoa, Chordata, Amphibia, Anura, Pelobatidae. The record is from the annotation of a GenBank genome assembly.
AUAGCGAGCACAAUUUUUUUGUUUAAAAGUAGUUAAGUAUUAACAUGGUAGGAAACAAGCUUAGGUAACAUUAUACUGGAUAUCGCUGUUCAGUCGUUUGAAUGCAUAUCUACUUAGUGAAUGAAUAGAGUUAAGCGCAAUGCUAUGCUGGGGCGCACAAUGUGUAAACAUGCUAGGUCUAUACAAUAUUCAUUAAGAGUAAUUUAAGUAAAAUACAAUAAAGGAGUAUGCUACAUACAAGACAGAGCCUUUGUGUAAGAUGUCAUAUGAGCUUCACUG